ACGGGGCGGGGGGGAAAGGAAAACGUAUAUUUCAGUGAGUUUUUUGUUUUGCUUUUUAGAAACGAGCCCUAACGCCGCCCGCUCGGAAAGCUAAACGCGGAUCUCGCAAACAUCAUCUCUCUAUGAAGGUAUUUUCUCUGGAGCAAUGGGAGAAGCUGGGAUUUUCUUUGGCUCAGCCCCAGCUGGCAUUCACUGCUGUUUAUCAGACCUCCACGCUGGACAGGUGUACCCAUUGCAGAGCAAACACACAGUGUGGCAGCACACGGGAGCACUCUGAGGCAGCAAUCCUGACCUGGGGAGCUCCUGUCCCCUUCUCCAUCCUCACCGCAACCACCUCCAAUGCACAGAGGAUCAGAGGGA
This 360-nucleotide long non-coding RNA is filed under the name Numida meleagris (helmeted guineafowl). RNAcentral's name for it is "lncRNA (ENSNMEG00000012874.1)". Lineage: Eukaryota; Metazoa; Chordata; Aves; Galliformes; Numididae. The record is from RNAcentral.